ACUCUGUAUCCACUCAAGAGCCUUUGAAAUAACAGCCAAUAACAAGAAAAAAAUGUGGACAUUAAUAAACUGUUUGGGUGGGCCUGUGUAUGUUCUUUUCUUUCCUGUCUCUCCACUAAACUGAAACCUUAAUGUUGAAUAACAAACCCUGACCUACAAAUAAUUUCUCUAUUUUCUCAUGGUUUCCUUUCUUGGCCUUUUAGGAGGCAGGAAAGUAGCACGGUCUGGAUGAUAUCUUGACAACCAACAUUUCCCUUUGGAUGAGAAAAACAACUGUUAUUCUAACAGGAGAUGAUUUCUGUGCUAACACUUCUGACCAAUGCCAUGCCCACUUGAAGGCACAGGAAUUCUGGUGUUCUGACUUCAGUAAGCCACAAAGACCAAGGACUCUCCUGAAAGGUGUUGAUUCGCACUGCUAUAAGUCAGACUCUUCAAGCAGCACAAGGGGCU
Molecule: long non-coding RNA, 450 nt
Organism: Symphalangus syndactylus (siamang)
Lineage: Eukaryota; Metazoa; Chordata; Mammalia; Primates; Hylobatidae
Source: RefSeq, a predicted model, not a curated record